GUGCCAGCCGCCGCGGUAAUACUGGCAGCCCGAGUGAUGGCCACUCUUAUUGGGCCUAAAGCGUCCGUAGCCGGCCUCGCAAGUCCGUCGGGAAAUCCAGUAGCUCAACUACUGGGCGUCCGGCGGAAACUACAAGGCUUGGGACCGGGAGGCCUGAGGGGUACGAUCGGGGUAGGAGUGAAAUCCUGUAAUCCCGCUCGGACCGCCGAUGGGGAAACCACCUCAGGAGAACGGAUCCGACAGUGAGGGACGAAAGCCAGGGUCUCGAACCGGAUUAGAAACCCCGGUAGUCC
This 293-nucleotide ribosomal RNA is filed under the name uncultured bacterium. RNAcentral describes it as "partial 16S ribosomal RNA". It matches the Rfam family "Archaeal small subunit ribosomal RNA", at positions 455 to 747 of the family's 1478-position model. The record is from RNAcentral.